Molecule: ribosomal RNA, 370 nt
Filed under: uncultured eukaryote
Lineage: Eukaryota
Description: partial 18S ribosomal RNA
Rfam family: Eukaryotic small subunit ribosomal RNA
Source: RNAcentral
CAAUAGCGUAUAUUAAAGUUGUUGCAGUUAAAAAGCUCGUAGUUGGACCUUGGACCUGGACAGGCGGUCCGCCUCACGGCGUGUACUGUCUUGCUGGGUCUUUCCUCUUGGUGAUCUGUUGUUUCGGCAGCAGGGAACCAGGACUUUUACUUUGAAAAAAUUAGAGUGUUCAAAGCAGGCUCGACGCCGGAAUAUAUUAGCAUGGAAUAAUAAAAUAGGACGUGCGGUUCUAUUUUGUUGGUUUUUGGAAUCGCCGCAAUGAUUAAUAGGGACAGUCGGGGGCAUUAGUACUCACAUGCUAGAGGUGAAAUUCUUGGAUUUUGUGAAGACUAACUUCUGCGAAAGCAUUUGCCAAGGAUGUUUUCAUUAA